RNAcentral lists this unclassified non-coding RNA (209 nucleotides) under uncultured Craterellus. RNAcentral describes it as "sequence contains ITS2". Lineage: Eukaryota; Fungi; Basidiomycota; Agaricomycetes; Cantharellales; Hydnaceae. The record is from RNAcentral.
AAUCUCUCAAAGGAUUAGUCAAUCUAUCCUUUGGAUUUUGGGUCUUGCUGUGAAGUGUUUCCCAGCUUACCUUGAAAAUAUUAGCAAGCUUUGUUUUGGUCAUCUCUAAUGAGGCGUUCUAAUUUAUCCAAAGAGCCUUAUUUUGACUACUUGCUUCUAACCAUCCCAUUGAAGGGAUAUAUUGGUUCUCAAUGAGUUCCAAGCCUGUA